UAACAUAUGCUUGUCUCAAAGACUAAGCCAUGCAUGUCUAAGUAUAAACAACUUUAUACUGUGAAACUGCGUACAGCUCAUUAUAUCAGCAAUUAUUUAUUUGAUGGUACCUUACUACAUGGAUAACCGUGGUAAUUCUAGAGCUAAUACAUGCACAAAGUCCCAACUCUUGCGGGGAGGGAUGUAUUUAUUAGAUACAAAACCAAUACCACCUCUGGUGGAUAUUGUGGUGACUCAUAAUAACUGAUCGAAUCGCAUGGCUUCAUGCUGGCGAUAGU
This 278-nucleotide ribosomal RNA is filed under the name uncultured eukaryote. RNAcentral describes it as "partial 18S ribosomal RNA". It matches the Rfam family "Eukaryotic small subunit ribosomal RNA", at positions 25 to 294 of the family's 1831-position model. The record is from RNAcentral.